UACGGAGGAUCCGAGCGUUAUCCGGAUUUAUUGGGUUUAAAGGGUGCGCAGGCGGAAUAUUAAGUCGGCGGUGAAAGUUUGCAGCUUAACUGUAAAAUUACCGUUGAUACUGGUAUUCUUGAGUGUAUAUGAAGUAGGCGGAAUUUGUAGUGUAGCGGUGAAAUGCAUAGAUAUUACAAGGAACUCCGAUUGCGAAGGCAGCUUACUAAAAUACAACUGACGCUUAGGCACGAAGGCGUGGGGAUCAAACAGGAUUAGAUACCCUGGUAGUCCCUGA
This 277-nucleotide ribosomal RNA is filed under the name uncultured prokaryote. RNAcentral's name for it is "partial 16S ribosomal RNA". It matches the Rfam family "Bacterial small subunit ribosomal RNA", at positions 524 to 800 of the family's 1533-position model. The record is from RNAcentral.